This 597-nucleotide ribosomal RNA is filed under the name uncultured Bacteroidota bacterium. RNAcentral's name for it is "bacterial SSU rRNA". It matches the Rfam family "Bacterial small subunit ribosomal RNA", at positions 122 to 715 of the family's 1533-position model. Lineage: Bacteria; Pseudomonadati; Bacteroidota. The record is from RNAcentral.
CAACCUGCCGUCUACUCUUGGCCAGCCUUCUGAAAGGAAGAUUAAUCCAGGAUGGCAUCAUGAGUUCACAUGUCCGCAUGAUUAAAGGUAUUUUCCGGUAGACGAUGGGGAUGCGUUCCAUUAGAUAGUAGGCGGGGUAACGGCCCACCUAGUCAACGAUGGAUAGGGGUUCUGAGUGGAAGGUCCCCCACAUUGGAACUGAGACACGGUCCAAACUCCUACGGGAGGCAGCAGUGAGGAAUAUUGGUCAAUGGGCGAUGGCCUGAACCAGCCAAGUAGCGUGAAGGAUGACUGCCCUAUGGGUUGUAAACUUCUUUUAUAAAGGAAUAAAGUCGGGUAUGCAUACCCGUUUGCAUGUACUUUAUGAAUAAGGAUCGGCUAACUCCGUGCCAGCAGCCGCGGUAAUACGGAGGAUCCGAGCGUUAUCCGGAUUUAUUGGGUUUAAAGGGAGCGUAGAUGGAUGUUUAAGUCAGUUGUGAAAGUUUGCGGCUCAACCGUAAAAUUGCAGUUGAUACUGGAUGUCUUGAGUGCAGUUGAGGCAGGCGGAAUUCGUGGUGUAGCGGUGAAAUGCUUAGAUAUCACGAAGAACUCCGAUUG